RNAcentral lists this long non-coding RNA (428 nucleotides) under Rattus norvegicus (Norway rat). RNAcentral describes it as "long non-coding RNA NONRATT010421". The record is from RNAcentral. Lineage: Eukaryota; Metazoa; Chordata; Mammalia; Rodentia; Muridae.
CUGGUUGUUUCCUUUCGCCUCCUUGGAACGAGGCAAACAAUUAGCAGCAUGGAAGAGUAGUGAUGAAAGUUGUUAAAGGGAUGCGCCUGCCCUGACAAUCAAUAGCACAUGUUAGAUGAGAGACGCUGCAUGUUGGCUGGUUCCGGACAGGAGGCCAAACCCCCAAAAUUACUCUUCAGAAUGAGCUUUGUUGGGAGAGCCUCGUGACCCGGCCUUAAGGAGGUGCUGGAAUCAGAGGUGUCAAGUUCGAUAACACUUUUGAAAAAUCUCCAGGAGCAGGUGAUGGCUGUGACAGCACAAGUACAAGCACUGACAGCAAAAGUUCGAGCUGGAGCAUAUUCUACAGAGAAGGGUCUGAGCCUCUUGGAAGUGAAAGACCAGCUGUUGCUCAUGUACCUCAUGGACCUGAGCCACCUCAUCCUGGACAA